This is a long non-coding RNA of Oreochromis aureus, 1706 nucleotides long. The record is from Ensembl. NCBI's taxonomy places the organism in Eukaryota, Metazoa, Chordata, Actinopteri, Cichliformes, Cichlidae.
GAUGAGAGGUUUCAGUUUUCUUUUUCUUUUUUCUUUUGACUUGCUCUUUCUGAUCAUGGAAGGCAUGUCCAAAAUACUCGUAUGAAAGCGUAUUUUGUGUGAUUUUAACUGUGUGAAUGCUGUCAGUAUUUGAUUUGAGUGACUGUGUGAUUUGUCUAAGUGAAAAGGGGAAGUCUGAGAGAGAGAAAGGCAGUGCGUGUGAGACGAUUUAUGGCGUCUGAAAGAGGUUAGAGCAUUUAAAAGGUGUGUAUGGAAUAAAGGAGUGUGAAAUAUAUUUCUUGUGUGAUGAAAAGUAGGAUGUGCUAAAGUUUGAAAGUGUUUUUAAUUCAAGAAAACAAAAACAAAGGAGUUAGAUUAGUUUGAGGAACAGGAAAUAUUGCUCUGUCUACCGGGGCUGCAGCGACAGGAAAUAGUGAACAGGAACUGUGCAUGCCCAUAUAUGGGAACUGAGUGUGUACAGAAAGAACACAGAGAGAGAGAUUUAACUCUAGGCACAUGAAGCAAAUGAAGCCUUUAAGAAAAAUGCAUAUAUUACUAAUUAUAUGGUUUAGUGUGUCAAUACAGGUGGGCGUCUUUCAACUUUGCAACCUUGAGUUCAGCAGCAGAAAAGUAGAUUAAAAGAAUUGGGAGAAAAUAAGCCAGUCUUUGGCUCGAAAUUGUGCAGCUUGAGCUCUUACUUUGUCCUUCACCCCGAGAAGACACGCAAAAGACAGUUAAUCACCUGAUGAAGACAGAUAGAACAUCGUGGACUUGAAUACAGCAGGCAAACGACAGGGCCACUGAUCCAUUAACACUGAUGACGACUGACGACCAGCAGCAGCAUGUAAGACUAAUGCAACAUGUACUGUGAAAAUACAGGCUGGGCAGUUGAACAGUGGGAUAAAGAAUUGUGGAAGAGCACUGGACAUUGAGUGAUAUUUUGCCAUGCUGGGACUUAAUCUGAAAGAAAAGACUGUAAAGAAACAGAGAAGAAGACAGCAGCUGAGUUGAGACUGUGUUUGCUGGAGCUUUGAAGCCCGAAUAGGACAUUGUGCAGAGAGGACCAGUGAGAGAUGAAGCUGGACGAGUUUGACUGCGAGAAUAUAGGAUAUAAUUGGAUUGAAAAUUGAAGCCUGAACUCAUGAAUUGUUUAGGGAUGUCCACUACAGCAUAACAAAGAGGUAAACAUUAGAAAAGGUGAGAAUAAUGAAAGAAAUAAUUGUCAUUACCUUAAUGAAUAGAAAACACACAUACAAAUUGUUACAUGUGAGAUAUUUUUGAAAUGAAUCAGAAGUGAGAUAGUUUGAAUCUAAAGCUCAGUGGUGAAAUGCAUAAAUUAAAUAUGAAUAUAUAGGAUGCAAUGAAGAAACAGCUUACACGUAGUGUACAUUAACAUGAAUACAUCGCAAGGCAACGAAGAACUCAAUGAAUUAAUUUAAUGAAGAAGUAGUAUACACCCAAUUAACAUAAAAUGCAGGGAAGAACACGCUUACAUGCAUGGCAUAAUUGGUGUUUCUGACCAGAGACAGAGAAAUGGGUUAUUUAACCACUGGUGAUAAUAAUGAAAAUGUCUUAGUUUUGUUAUUUUCAGGAGUAAAGCAGACUUGGACCGGCUCUCCACAGCAGCAGUCGGAAGAAAGUUAGAGGUUAACAUCUAUGGAUAAGUUAAGGCAAGUUUCUGGUUGAAUUGUUCACAGCAUGAUGUGUCCAGGAACCUGAAAAGCAAG